Molecule: transfer RNA, 77 nt
Filed under: Leptosiphonia brodiei
Lineage: Eukaryota; Rhodophyta; Florideophyceae; Ceramiales; Rhodomelaceae
Description: tRNA-Arg
Rfam family: tRNA
About the family: Transfer RNA (tRNA) molecules are approximately 80 nucleotides in length. Their secondary structure includes four short double-helical elements and three loops (D, anti-codon, and T loops).
Source: RNAcentral
UGGGCUUGUAGCUCAGCGGAUUAGAGCACGUGGCUACGAACCACGGUGUCGGGGGUUCGAGUCCCUCCUUGCCCGUC